AAAAAGAUAAGCUAAUAAAGCUAAUGGGUUCAUACCCCAUAGAUAAAAAUUAUAAUUUUUUUCUUUUUA
Molecule: transfer RNA, 69 nt
Filed under: Conaspidia wangi
Lineage: Eukaryota; Metazoa; Arthropoda; Insecta; Hymenoptera; Tenthredinidae
Description: tRNA-Met
Source: RNAcentral